Molecule: ribosomal RNA, 468 nt
Filed under: uncultured bacterium
Lineage: Bacteria
Description: partial 16S ribosomal RNA
Rfam family: Bacterial small subunit ribosomal RNA
Source: RNAcentral
GACGAACGCUGGCGGCGUGCUUAACACAUGCAAGUCGAACGGAAAGGCCCUGCUUUUGUGGGGUGCUCGAGUGGCGAACGGGUGAGUAACACGUGAGUAACCUGCCCUUGACUUUGGGAUAACUUCAGGAAACUGGGGCUAAUACCGGAUAGGAGCUCCUGCUGCAUGGUGGGGGUUGGAAAGUUUCGGCGGUUGGGGAUGGACUCGCGGCUUAUCAGCUUGUUGGUGGGGUAGUGGCUUACCAAGGCUUUGACGGAUAGCCGGCCUGAGAGGGUGACCGGCCACAUUGGGACUGAGAGACGGCCCAGACUCCUACGGGAGGCAGCAGUGGGGAAUAUUGCACAAUGGGCGGAAGCCUGAUGCAGCAACGCCGCGUGCGGGAUGACGGCCUUCGGGUUGUAAACCGCUUUCGCCUGUGACGAAGCGUGAGUGACGGUAAUGGGUAAAGAAGCACCGGCUAACUACGUG